GACGAACGCUGGCGGCGUGCUUAACACAUGCAAGUCGAACGGAAAGGCCCGGCUUUUGUGGGCUGCUCGAGUGGCGAACGGGUGAGUAACACGUGCGUAACCUGCCCUUGACUUUGGGAUAACUUCAGGAAACUGGGGCUAAUACCUGAUACAAGCUCCUGCUGCUUGGUGGGGGUUGGAAAGUUUCGGCGGUUGGGGAUGGACUCGCGGCUUAUCAGCUUGUUGGUGGGGUAGUGGCUUACCAAGGCUUUGACGGGUAGCCGGCCUGAGAGGGUGACCGGCCACAGUGGGACUGAGAUACGGGCCAGAGUGCUACGGGAGGCAGCAGUGGGGAAUAGUGCACAAUGGGCGGAAGGCUGAUGCAGCAACGCCGCGUGCGGGAUGACGGCCUUCGGGUUGUAAACCGCUUUCGCCUGUGACGAAGCGGGAGUGACGGUAAUGGGUAAAGAAGCAACGGCUAACUACGUG
RNAcentral lists this ribosomal RNA (468 nucleotides) under uncultured bacterium. RNAcentral describes it as "partial 16S ribosomal RNA". It matches the Rfam family "Bacterial small subunit ribosomal RNA", at positions 28 to 507 of the family's 1533-position model. The record is from RNAcentral.